GCAUACCUGCCAUAUAGGGUUUUGGUCAUACAGGGGAUUGUGGGAUAUGUGUGCCUGCUGUGGAUGCACAGACACACUCAGAAAGUAAACAAAAGGCUCAGAAUGUCAGGGAUUACUUGUUGUGUCUCUGGAUGCUUCAGUAACCAUCUCUGUUUUAAAUGUU
This is a long non-coding RNA of Thalassophryne amazonica, 163 nucleotides long. RefSeq lists it as uncharacterized. NCBI's taxonomy places the organism in Eukaryota, Metazoa, Chordata, Actinopteri, Batrachoidiformes, Batrachoididae. The record is from RefSeq and is a predicted model, not a curated record. The transcript has 3 exons.